RNAcentral lists this ribosomal RNA (426 nucleotides) under Triticum aestivum (bread wheat). Its description in RNAcentral is "partial small subunit ribosomal RNA". The record is from RNAcentral. Lineage: Eukaryota; Viridiplantae; Streptophyta; Magnoliopsida; Poales; Poaceae.
AUGCUCCCCCUCCCUGUCGGCGCUGUUGUACAUCCUUUGACUAACUAUCUCCAGUUAUUAUUUGCAGCAGUAUUUUGGUGGUUUUCUUGGCCUGGAACCGAUCUAGACCUGCUUGCCAUAGCUAAUGAUCAAAGCCUUAUCGCCUCGCGGUUUCGCCAUCCCAUCCUGAUUGCUCGAGAUCGCAGCCGCCGCCUUUGCUAUGGUCCUGGUAUGAAAGAGCACCUGAAGUUAAAUUUGUUUUUCUUCACAUGUGGUGUUGUGGCACCAAAAUUUCGAUUAUAUGUUUGUUUGAUCACCCAGCAAUUGUCAGCAAUUCAAUCUAAGUACAAGCUCCCCCUGAAGCCUUGCCCUCCCUCGCAAGCUCGAUGCUACUUAGGUCUGAGGCUCGGCUUGCUGCGUUCAAACUUCUUGGGCUGCAGCGCCUAG